AGUUUAUUGGGAAAUUCUUAAUUGGGAGAGAAACAUCACAGACUUAAACAAUUGGAAAAAAUAAAAGAACAAUUGAUCGCAAAUUAUUACAAAAGUAAUUUCUGAAAUGUUUAUUUUUGAGCCACUGCAAAAACAAAAUUUUAGUGCAUCCUGAAGUUCAUAUUUUGGUAAAUGAACAUAUUAAAUUACUGAAAAAGCAAAAGAAAAAAGUUACUGUUAUACAAGAUCUUAACGGAAUAAUUCAGCACAGUCAAAUAAACAGCUAUAAUUAUUCAAAGCUGCUUUUGCUCUAUAGCUGGUAUAUUAAACAAGAAUGUGAAUUAUUACUAUUAACACUGCACAAGUAACAAAAGGUAGCAAAUCCAGCAAUAUUAAAACCUGAUAUUAAAUAGUGUUCAAACAUUACAACAAAAAACAAGACAAUGAACUUCUAGACCUAUGAUUCUACCCCUGUGAAAGGAAUGUACAUGGAUGGUAGAAAAAAAAUAAAUAUAUAAAGUGACAAGUGUGACCAACACUGCGUCUGCAUCUCCAGAGCAGGAAUACGGUGAGUUAGUCAAUGUAUGCAGGGCCUCAAACGAGAGUGAGGAAAAAAGCAUUUCACUUGAGCACAGCUUCGUAAUUCCCAGGGAAGCUCUACUUCUCUUGUGCUGGUGACGGGUGGACAGAGCUUGAAAUGGAAAGAAUUUUCCCUACACCCUGAAUAUGGAUGCAUUAUUAUUUUUCUUAAUUCUGUGGAAAGUUUCUCUUGAAGAAAUAAAAUUUAAAGCAACAGACUGAUGGGAAAUUGAUCAUUUUAAUUGUGAGAGAGGAAUAUUUACUAAUCUG
Molecule: long non-coding RNA, 828 nt
Filed under: Bos taurus (domestic cattle)
Lineage: Eukaryota; Metazoa; Chordata; Mammalia; Artiodactyla; Bovidae
Description: long non-coding RNA NONBTAT004147
Source: RNAcentral